RNAcentral lists this long non-coding RNA (514 nucleotides) under Sarcophilus harrisii (Tasmanian devil). RNAcentral's name for it is "lncRNA (ENSSHAG00000022827.1)". The record is from RNAcentral. Lineage: Eukaryota; Metazoa; Chordata; Mammalia; Dasyuromorphia; Dasyuridae.
GGUUGGCGAGGUGGCGGAGCUUGGGGUGUAGGAUAGAGAGUCUCAUUGGUGGGAACUGGCAAAGCAACUCCUCCGUGCUGACUUUUCCGCAGAAUUCCCGCAAAGGUGUUUUCUGCUGAAAUCCUCCAAACACCGGGGGACCCGCCCCAUAAGCUGUUCUAUUCCCCUCCGUCUGCAGCGGCUCUGCCUGCCCAGCCUUCUCCUGGCAUCGCAAGGGCUAAACUGCAACGUCCUUCCUACAAAGUCUCUGGAAAGCUGCGGUAAUCCCUACUCCGUCCUGUAGGCACGUUCAAGGCCAUUGAAACUACUAAUUUAGCUCUCAGAACGUACGUUGGUGAGCAUCGGGGGGGGAUGGGGGAGGGGGAUCCUUUACCCCCCCCCCCCCAUCCUGCUUCUAAAGGGACGUGAGGAAGUGUAAAAACAAAAACGCAGCUCGGGAUCUGAAGCUGAGCUAGUGCAGCCUGCGGGGGAUGCUGCGGUCACACACCGGAGGCCGGGGACGGCUUGCUGGCAG